AGAGUUUGAUCCUGGCUCAGGAUGAACGCUGGCGGCGUGCCUAACACAUGCAAGUCGAACGAUUAAACCGCUUCGGCGGAUAUAGAGUGGCGAACGGGUGAGUAACACGUGACCAACCUGCCCCCCGCUCCGGGAUAACCAGGAGAAAUUCUGGCUAAUACCGGAUACUCCGGCCGGUCCGCAUGGGCCAACCGGGAAAGCCCAGACGGCGGGGGAUGGGGUCGCGGUCCAUUAGGUAGACGGCGGGGUAACGGCCCACCGUGCCUGCGAUGGAUAGCCGGGUUGAGAGACCGACCGGCCACAUUGGGACUGAGAUACGGCCCAGACUCCUACGGGAGGCAGCAGUGGGGAAUUUUGCGCAAUGGGGGCAACCCUGACGCAGCAACGCCGCGUGCGGGAUGACGGCCUUCGGGUUGUAAACCGCUUUCAGCAGGGAAGACCAUGACGGUACCUGCAGAAGAAGCUCCGGCUAAAUACGUGCCAGCAGCCGCGGUAAUACGUAUGGAGCGAGCGUUAUCCGGAUUCAUUGGGCGUAAAGCGCGCGUAGGCGGCGCUUCAAGCGGAACCUCUAAUCCAAGGGCUCAACCCAUGGCCGGGUUCCGAACUGGGGCGCUCGAGUGCGGUAGGGGCAAGUGGAAUUCCCGGUGUAGCGGUGGAAUGCGCAGAUAUCGGGAAGAACACCGAUGGCGAAGGCAGCUUGCUGGGCCGCCACUGACGCUGAGGCGCGAAAGCUAGGGGAGCGAACAGGAUUAGAUACCCUGGUAGUCCUAGCCGUAAACGAUGGGCACUAGGUGUGGGGGGCUCCGCCCUCCGUGCCGCAGCUAACGCAUUAAGUGCCCCGCCUGGGGAGUACGGCCGCAAGGCUAAAACUCAAAGGAAUUGACGGGGACCCGCACAAGCAGCGGAGCAUGUGGCUUAAUUCGAAGCAACGCGAAGAACCUUACCGGGGCUUGACAUGCAGGUGAAGCCGGGGAAACCCGGUGGCCGAGAGGAGCCUGCGCAGGUGGUGCAUGGCUGUCGUCAGCUCGUGUCGUGAGAUGUUGGGUUAAGUCCCGCAACGAGCGCAACCCCUGUCGCAUGUUGCCAGCAUUAAGUUGGGGACUCAUGCGAGACUGCCGGCGUCAAGCCGGAGGAAGGUGGGGAUGACGUCAAGUCAUCAUGCCCCUUAUGUCCCGGGCUGCACACGUGCUACAAUGGUCGGUACAACGGGCUGCGACCGCGCGAGCGGAAGCGAAUCCCUCAAAGCCGGCCCCAGUUCGGAUCGCAGGCUGCAACCCGCCUGCGUGAAGUCGGAGUUGCUAGUAACCGCGGAUCAGCACGCCGCGGUGAAUACGUUCCCGGGUCUUGUACUCACCGCCCGUCA
RNAcentral lists this ribosomal RNA (1363 nucleotides) under uncultured bacterium. Its description in RNAcentral is "bacterial SSU rRNA". It matches the Rfam family "Bacterial small subunit ribosomal RNA". The record is from RNAcentral.